Molecule: unclassified non-coding RNA, 207 nt
Filed under: Hevea brasiliensis (rubber tree)
Lineage: Eukaryota; Viridiplantae; Streptophyta; Magnoliopsida; Malpighiales; Euphorbiaceae
Source: RNAcentral
AUUCUAGAUUCUUGAUCUUAGUCUUCAAGCUAACAAUCUCUUCCCCCAGCGCCUUGAUCUCCUGUGAAUUACCAUUUUUCCCAUCAUCAAGGCUCCGGCUUUGUUUCUUAGCAGCCUCCAUUGUCUUUCUGAGUAAACGUAGCUCUCUUAUGUAAUGGUGCAAUCUAUCUAUCAUAAAUGAAAGGAAUAGCAAGAAUCCCAUGAGAG